UGGGGAAUUUUGGACAAUGGGCGAAAGCCUGAUCCAGCAAUGCCGCGUGUGUGAAGAAGGCCUUCGGGUUGUAAAGCACUUUUGUCCGGAAAGAAAUCCUUGGCUCUAAUACAGUCGGGGGAUGACGGUACCGGAAGAAUAAGCACCGGCUAACUACGUGCCAGCAGCCGCGGUAAUACGUAGGGUGCAAGCGUUAAUCGGAAUUACUGGGCGUAAAGCGUGCGCAGGCGGUUUGCUAAGACCGAUGUGAAAUCCCCGGGCUCAACCUGGGGAACUGCAUUGGUGACUGGCAGGCUAGAGUAUGGCAGAGGGGGGUAGAAUUCCACGUGUAGCAGUGAAAUGCGUAGAGAUGUGGAGGAAUACCGAUGGCGAAGGCAGCCCCCUGGGCCAAUACUGACGCUCAUGCACGAAAGCGUGGGGAGCAAAACAGGAUUAGAUACCCUGGUAGUCCACGCCCUAAAACGAUGUCAACUAGUUGUUGGGGAUUCAUUUCCUUAGUAACGUAGCUAACGCGUGAAGUUGACCGCCUGGGGAGUACGGUCGCAAGAUUAAAACUCAAAGGAAUUGACGGGGUCAUAGCUGUUUCCU
Molecule: ribosomal RNA, 588 nt
Filed under: uncultured bacterium
Lineage: Bacteria
Description: partial 16S ribosomal RNA
Rfam family: Bacterial small subunit ribosomal RNA
Source: RNAcentral